RNAcentral lists this non-coding RNA (1078 nucleotides) under Leiosaurus catamarcensis. Its description in RNAcentral is "partial contains 12S small subunit ribosomal RNA, tRNA-Val, and 16S large subunit ribosomal RNA". The stretch from base 6 to 942 matches the Rfam family "Archaeal small subunit ribosomal RNA". Lineage: Eukaryota; Metazoa; Chordata; Lepidosauria; Squamata; Leiosauridae. The record is from RNAcentral.
AACAUACAGUUUUGGUCCUAGACUUGCUGCUAUUUAUAAUCAAAAUUACACAUGCAAGUAUCCGCAUGCCAGUGAGAAUGCCCACCUAUUGANGGAGCAGGUAUCAGGCACGACCUAUCAGCCCAAGACACCUUGCUACGCCACACCCCCACGGGGAAACAGCAGUGAUAGAUAUUAGGCAAUGAGCAACAAACUAAAGCUCGACUUAGUUAUGAUUUAUAGGGCCGGUAAACCUCGUGCCAGCCACCGCGGUUAUACAAGGGGCCCAAAAUAGACAAACAACGGCGUAAAUCGUGGCUAGAACACAUUGAUUACCAAAAUAACGAACCAUGUCCUAACCGWUAAAACACAGGACAAAUGAACACCACCAUUUUGUUAAACCAACUUUUGACCCCACGAAAACUAAGACACAAACUAGGAUUAGAUACCCUACUAUGCUUAGUCGUAAAUAAGACAUAAAAUCACACCUAUGUCCGCCAGAAGAUUACAAGCGAAAAGCUUAAAACCCAAAGGACUUGGCGGUGCUCCACACCAACUUAGAGGAGCCUGUCCUAUAACUGAUACUCCACAAUAGACCUCCCCCUCUAUUGCCAACCCCAGCCUAUAUACCGCCGUCGCAAAUCUACCCUGUGAAGGGAAAAAAGUAGGUUCAACAGCUACUAGCUAAAACGUCAGGUCAAGGUGUAGCUUAUUGGAGGGAAGAGAUGGGCUACAUUUUUUAAUAUAAACUAAACGGCAAAGCACUAUGAAACUAGCACUAUAAGGUGGAUUUAACAGUAAGAUUAACAAGAAAAUUAACCUUAAACCAGCCCUGGAGCGCGCACACACCGCCCGUCACCCUCCUCAACACAAACAUAAACAAUCUAUAAUUAAAGUCCCUAAAAAGAGGGGGUAAGUCGUAACAUGGUAAGCGCACCGGAAGGUGUGCUUGGAUAACCAAAAAGUAGCUUAAACAAAGCUUUCAGCUUACAACUGAAACAUGUUAGAACCUUUUUGCGCGAUACAUCAGCCCAAACACCUGUUCAAACUAACACCCAUAAACCAAAACAUUUGACAAAACUAGUAGAGGUGAUCAAAC